GACGAACGCUGGCGGCGUGCUUAACACAUGCAAGUCGAACGGAAAGGCCCUGCUUUUGUGGGGUGCUCGAGUGGCGAACGGGUGAGUAACACGUGAGUAACCUGCCCUUGACUUUGGGAUAACUUCAGGAAACUGGGGCUAAUACCGGAUAGGAGCUCCUGCUGCAUGGUGGGGGUUGGAAAGUUUCGGCGGUUGGGGAUGGACUCGCGGCUUAUCAGCUUGUUGGUGGGGUAGUGGCUUACCAAGGCUUUGACGGGUAGCCGGCCUGAGAGGGUGACCGGCCACAUUGGGACUGAGAUACGGCCCAGACUCCUACGGGAGGCGGCAGUGGGGAAUAUUGCACAAUGGGCGGAAGCCUGAUGCAGCAACGCCGCGUGCGGGAUGACGGCCUUCGGGUUGUAAACCGCUUUCGCCUGUGACGAAGCGUGAGUGACGGUAAUGGGUAAAGAAGCACCGGCUAACUACGUGCCAGCAGCCGCGGUGAUACGUAGGGUGCGAGCGUUGUCCGGAUUUAUUGGGCGUAAAGGGCUCGUAGGUGGUUGAUCGCGUCGGAAGUGUAAUCUUGGGGCUUAACCCUGAGCGUGCUUUCGAUACGGGUUGACUUGAGGAAGGUAGGGGAGAAUGGAAUUCCUGGUGGAGCGGUGGAAUGCGCAGAUAUCAGGAGGAACACCAGUGGCGAAGGCGGUUCUCUGGGCCCUUCCUGACGCUGAGGAGCGAAAGCGUGGGGAGCGAACAGGCUUAGAUACCCUGGUAGUCCACGCUGUAAACGGUGGGUACUAGGUGUGGGGUCCAUUCCACGGGUUCCGUGCCGUAGCUAACGCUUUAAGUACCCCGCCUGGGGAGUACGGCCGCAAGGCUAAAACUCAAAGGAAUUGACGGGGCCCCGCACAAGCGGCGGAGCAUGCGGAUUAAUUCGAUGCAACGCGUAGAACCUUACCUGGGUUUGACAUGGAUCGGGAGUGCUCAGAGAUGGGUGUGCCUCUUUUGGGGUCGGUUCACAGGUGGUGCAUGGCUGUCGUCAGCUCGUGUCGUGAGAUGUUGGGUUAAGUCCCGCAACGAGCGCAACCCUUGUUCACUGUUGCCAGCACGUUAUGGUGGGGACUCAGUGGAGACCGCCGGGGUCAACUCGGAGGAAGGUGGGGAUGACGUCAAGUCAUCAUGCCCCUUAUGUCCAGGGCUUCACGCAUGCUACAAUGGCUGGUACAGAGAGUGGCGAGCCUGUGAGGGUGAGCGAAUCUCGGAAAGCCGGUCUCAGUUCGGAUUGGGGUCUGCAACUCGACCUCAUGAAGUCGGAGUCGCUAGUAAUCGCAGAUCAGCAACGCUGCGGUGAAUACGUUCCCGGG
This 1343-nucleotide ribosomal RNA is filed under the name uncultured bacterium. RNAcentral describes it as "16S ribosomal RNA". It matches the Rfam family "Bacterial small subunit ribosomal RNA", at positions 28 to 1378 of the family's 1533-position model. The record is from RNAcentral.